GACGAACGCUGGCGGCGUGCCUAAUACAUGCAAGUAGAACGCUGAAGGAGGAGCUUGCUCUUCUGGAUGAGUUGCGAACGGGUGAGUAACGCGUAGGUAACCUGCCUGGUAGCGGGGGAUAACUAUUGGAAACGAUAGCUAAUACCGCAUAAGAGUAGAUGUUGCAUGACAUUUACUUAAAAGGUGCAAUUGCAUCACUACCAGAUGGACCUGCGUUGUAUUAGCUAGUUGGUGGGGUAACGGCUUACCAAGGCGACGAUACAUAGCCGACCUGAGAGGGUGAUCGGCCACACUGGGACUGAGACACGGCCCAGACUCCUACGGGAGGCAGCAGUAGGGAAUCUUCGGCAAUGGACGGAAGUCUGACCGAGCAACGCCGCGUGAGUGAAGAAGGUUUUCGGAUCGUAAAGCUCUGUUGUAAGAGAAGAACGAGUGUGAGAGUGGAAAGUUCACACUGUGACGGUAUCUUACCAGAAAGAGACGGCUAACUACGUG
Molecule: ribosomal RNA, 495 nt
Filed under: uncultured bacterium
Lineage: Bacteria
Description: partial 16S ribosomal RNA
Rfam family: Bacterial small subunit ribosomal RNA
Source: RNAcentral